UACGUAGGUCCCGAGCGUUGUCCGGAUUUACUGGGUGUAAAGGGAGCGUAGGCGGCCUGGCAAGCCUGAUGUGAAAUACCGGGGCCCAACCCCGGGGCUGCAUUGGGAACUGCCAGGCUGGAGUGCCGGAGAGGCAGGCGGAAUUCCUAGUGUAGCGGUGAAAUGCGUAGAUAUUAGGAGGAACACCAGUGGCGAAGGCGGCCUGCUGGACGGUGACUGACGCUGAGGCUCGAAAGCGUGGGGAGCAAACAGG
RNAcentral lists this ribosomal RNA (253 nucleotides) under uncultured bacterium. RNAcentral's name for it is "partial 16S ribosomal RNA". It matches the Rfam family "Bacterial small subunit ribosomal RNA", at positions 524 to 776 of the family's 1533-position model. The record is from RNAcentral.